GUGGGGAAUAUUGGACAAUGGGCGAAAGCCUGAUCCAGCCAUGCCGCGUGAGUGAUGAAGGCCUUAGGGUUGUAAAGCUCUUUCAGUGGGGACGAUAAUGACGGUACCCACAGAAGAAGCCCCGGCUAACUUCGUGCCAGCAGCCGCGGUAAUACGAAGGGGGCUAGCGUUGUUCGGAUUUACUGGGCGUAAAGCGCACGUAGGCGGAUCGUUAAGUCAGGGGUGAAAUCCUGGAGCUCAACUCCAGAACUGCCUUUGAUACUGGCGAUCUAGAGUCCGGAAGAGGUGAGUGGAACUCCUAGUGUAGAGGUGGAAUUCGUAGAUAUUAGGAAGAACACCAGUGGCGAAGGCGGCUCACUGGUCCGGUACUGACGCUGAGGUGCGAAAGCGUGGGGAGCAAACAGGAUUAGAAACCCGGGUAGUCC
This 425-nucleotide ribosomal RNA is filed under the name uncultured bacterium. RNAcentral describes it as "partial 16S ribosomal RNA". It matches the Rfam family "Bacterial small subunit ribosomal RNA", at positions 354 to 796 of the family's 1533-position model. The record is from RNAcentral.